UACGGAGGAUGCGAGCGUUAUCCGGAUUUAUUGGGUUUAAAGGGUGCGUAGGCGGGUUAUCAAGUCAGCGGUAAAAUCGUGGAGCUCAACUCCAUCCAGCCGUUGAAACUGAUGAUCUUGAGUGGGCGAGAGGUAAGCGGAAUUCCUGGUGUAGCGGUGAAAUGCGUAGAUAUCAGGAGGAACACCGGCGGCGAAGGCGGCCAACUGGGCUUUAACUGACGCUGAGGCUCGAAAGUGUGGGGAGCAAACAGG
RNAcentral lists this ribosomal RNA (252 nucleotides) under uncultured bacterium. RNAcentral's name for it is "partial 16S ribosomal RNA". It matches the Rfam family "Bacterial small subunit ribosomal RNA", at positions 524 to 776 of the family's 1533-position model. The record is from RNAcentral.